RNAcentral lists this long non-coding RNA (1160 nucleotides) under Capsicum annuum. RNAcentral's name for it is "long non-coding RNA (CANN_LNC004806)". Lineage: Eukaryota; Viridiplantae; Streptophyta; Magnoliopsida; Solanales; Solanaceae. The record is from RNAcentral.
UCAAGGUUUUAUAAGGUGAGAUCCUUUUUAGCUUAGGUGCGUCCACAUUUCAUAUGGAGCCUCCUUGAACAAAAUAAUGACCCACAUUUCUUAAAAGCAUUCAUCAUAUGAACUUGAGUUAUACCUUAUAAAGCUUUUUACUUUUCUCUAUCAUUCUGAUGUGAAUUUCACAUAACGACUAUUUGUGUGGUAUCCUCAGAAGGUUAUCAACCUAAAAGACUUCUAGUCCUACUUAACUUAUUGUAAUCAGCCUGCAAUCCAGCGGGGGAAAAGCACAACAUAUUUUGUGUCAAAAUUCUUUGCAUCCAAACUUUAGCUAAUUGUAAAACAAAAAAUGAUUUCCACCUCAAAUUUGUCUCGAAAAGUCAUUUACUCACUUAAACUAUUGUCGCGACCUAAUAUACACCCACACUAUGUAAAAGUAAAUUUAUUUUCACCCCAAAACGUAAAGAACCAGUCACAUGAUGGAGAGUGAUUUACACCUGCACCCCAUAAUCACCAUGUUAUAACCACAUCAGAUAUUAUGUAAAUUUUUUUUUUUUAAAAAGUCUAUGUCACCCCUUGCUUCUUCUUCACCAAAAUUACAAUUAAAACACCACCAUUGCCACCAUUAUCAUCAAACUCAAAUCUUCAUCAUAAUAAUUUUAAGAAUCCACCAUGAAUUUCAUUACCGAAAUCACAACACAACUAUUGGUAUCACAAAAAUAAAAAAACAACCACCAUAAAAUUCAAGAUCCACUACUAAAAUUUCCAUUGAAAUCACAAUAUCACCAUUGUUAACAUCCGAAGUUACUACCACGAAUUCGCACCACCUCCACUACUAAAUUCUACAGCAAAAUUGAACCACCACCACUACUAAAUCUUACAUUAAAGUCACCAAAUUAAACAUUCAAUUUAUGAAAUUUGUCACAUACAAAUUCACUAUCAAGAAUAAUUAUUCGUGAUGAUAUUGGUAGUGGCAUUCGUGAUGAAAUUGAUAGUGAUAGGUGAAGAAAUUGGUAAUAGUGGUUGGUAAUGGGUUAAACGAUGAAGAUAUGGGGGAGAUGGUGAAAUUGAGUUAUAAAGUUGUUAUUUUUCAUGAUGAUAGCAGAAUUAAUAGGGUUUUGAUGGUUGUUUUUCAAUGAUAUUUUGAUUGGUGUAGAAAAAUUAGUGGUGGUGCG